CUGUAUCUAUUGUUAAUAAAACAGCUUCUUUCUUUUGGUGAAGGGGAGAGGUUAGAUAUGUGGCCUCUGGAUUCCUGAUGAUGGACAAAUAUUCACACAUGCUGUCUACUGCUGGCAAAAUAACCCAGUGAAACUGAACAUCCAAGGUAUGCCAUCAUUUUGAUUGCCUCAUGAAGUGACCCAAGCUUGGAAGGAAGAGGGUUCUUCUGUUAGGCAUUCCAGUGUCUCUUGAGGAGCUAAUUACAGGGAAGCCUGAGAAUCGCUGUCUUUGCCCUUCAGAGUAUGCAGAGGGCCAGUGGUUGAUGGAGUUGUUGGCACCAAAAUGUCUAAUUAUUGUCUAUUUGGAGACAACUGUGAACACAGCCUGUUGAAUGGAGUUAACCAGCCAAG
This 390-nucleotide long non-coding RNA is filed under the name Lynx canadensis (Canada lynx). RNAcentral describes it as "lncRNA (ENSLCNG00005016563.1)". Lineage: Eukaryota; Metazoa; Chordata; Mammalia; Carnivora; Felidae. The record is from RNAcentral.